UUCUUUUGGCUUUAGAAAUGUGAGACAAUAUAUCAACAGGAAAUGAUAAUUACAUAAACUUGUCAAUGCACUGUUAAUGCAUUUAGAUUUAUAUCCCCUGAAGCAUACGCAGAUCCAUGUAAUCACGAACUGGGCAAGUAUGCAUGUCUCAUGCAAGUCAUUUUUAACUUGUGCGCAGAGGAAUGCACAAACAUUGCUUUGAAAAUGUGAUGUAAUUAUACUUUCCUGUGGAUAUAUAUUGUCUUACAUUCCUACCGCCAAAAGGACCAACCACACUGACAACCGGUAAAGUGCAUUCAAAUAUUAUUUUAUUCAACCUUCUGGCUUUUAGAGGUGGUGAGGGGAAACGUUCCUGAUUCAAACACUAAUUUCUGCCCAAAGUAGAAUUCUCUGCAAUUCAACGUUGUGUUCAGGCAACCUGUUCAGGCACCUGUUUUCUGCACACACACCACCACCAAUAUGCUCAGUACACUGACAAAGUAAGGAACACCACAUUGCAAACGGACAGCAUGCAUGCAGUGUCCAUUAUUUUAUAAAGUAUUGUCCUUUAUUGUAACUACACUAACUUUGUUAUGUCAUAGAUAUGUCAAAGUUCCCAGUGGAGAGGAUCAUAAAUUUCGGCAUCAUUGCUCACAUUGACCAUAGGAAGAGCACCUUGGCUGACAGGCUUCUGGAAACUACAGGUCUCGUGUGCAUUACCAUAUCCAUACUCAUGGAUCACACAGAUACUCAUGCAUUUAGUUGUAUUGUAUGAUAUGGCUCACCUCAUCGCUUGGUUUUGAUAGGUGCCAUAACCACCAGGAAUACCCCCCAUAGCUGCGGCAAAUAGGGGUGCUGCAGCAACCUUGAAAAAUCGACAUAAUAAUAAUUGAAACAAAACAUUUACACAGCGUAAACAAACAUGAACAGUAGUAGGUGUCUGCAUUCUGACGCGAAUGUGCUUGUGGGUCUCUCUCUCUCCAGGGAUGUAUCCUAUUGACCAGUCGGACUACAGCGCCCUCCGCAGUGCUGUGGAGAAACUGCAGUUUGAUGUGCAGGACAGCAGUCUGGGCACCUGGAGCAGUACCAACUAAAUUAUCAUCUAAUCUCUCAUCCACCACUCAAAGCUAUGCAAGUGGUGAAGGGUUGACCUUGACAGGAUACUUGUGUUCUUCAUAAGUUUUUCUUUUUGAGGGACACCAAUUUCAGCCGUGAUCAUGCACUCCUAAAUCGUACUCGCUCUCUCCUCACUUACUUUCUUUCCCUUGGUCUUUCCUUCCUUCCUUCCUUCCUUCCUUCCUUCCUUCCCUUCCGCAGGCUAGGCUUCCUGGGCCUGCUCCACAGAGUUGUUUCACCAGUGCUUGGAGAAGGAGUACAACUCCUCUGUCAAAGUGACAGCCUCCACCAUGCCUACGAGGCUGUCCUGUCCUGCGCCAAGCUCAUUGAGGAGCAUGGGAAACAGAAGAUCUGCAUAGUGAACCCAGUUCUCAGACAGGUCUGUAGUGACAGAGUACCUGGAUCCCAUGGUGAUGGGGACCAUCUUCGCCCCUGACAACUACACUGGGAAAAUCAUGAGUAUCUGCUUGUUGUGAGUAUGAGGAUACAGGGUACCGGGCAGCCAAUGUAAUCAAGAUAGAUAUUCUGCUGAACAGGAAACCUGUGGAGGAACUCACCCCUGUUGUUCACAAAGAGAUUGGGCGUACCGUGCAGGCAAUGCCAUGUCCGAGCACCUGCAUGACGCCAGAACCGGACUAAUGUUUGAGAUCACAGUACAAACAGCCAUCGGCAGCAAAGGGAGACCACAGAGAUGAUAACCAGAAAGAUGACGCGCCUGAAGAACCAGGCAGAGUGUAAAAAAGAAGAUGCGGUAUGUUGGCACGUGCAAGUCCCCAAAAGAUGUCUUCCUCAGUGUUCUGAAGAGGAAAGACAAGUAGAAUAUCAGUAUCCUUAUUUAUUGAAGCAAGUUUUUGUUCAACAAAUAGACUUUAAAACAGCAAAAUAACUUUUAAAAUGUCCUAUACAUAACUUUAACCCCCAAAAAGUUAUAAUGUAGAUCUCAUUUCCAAGAAAAAUAUUUGACGACAUGCACAGAUUACUCCCUCAAACAGACUUUAAGUGCAAGGUGCAAUACAUCAA
Long non-coding RNA from Oncorhynchus nerka (sockeye salmon), 2115 nucleotides. RefSeq lists it as uncharacterized. The record is from RefSeq and is a predicted model, not a curated record. NCBI's taxonomy places the organism in Eukaryota, Metazoa, Chordata, Actinopteri, Salmoniformes, Salmonidae. The transcript is spliced from 5 exons.